This is an RNA transcript of Pyrgilauda ruficollis (rufous-necked snowfinch), 1632 nucleotides long. It is a transcript of the gene named prostaglandin reductase 2, with no coding region annotated. Lineage: Eukaryota; Metazoa; Chordata; Aves; Passeriformes; Passeridae. The record is from RefSeq and is a predicted model, not a curated record. The transcript has 11 exons.
GGGAGCUGCGGGCUCUGAGGGGCGCAGCGGUACCGGGGGCGGGCCGCGGGUCCGCCUGGGGGCCCGGUGCUUGGUAGGGCUCCUAUUCUCCUUCCCAGGAGUCGUAUCCUCAGGGAGUAGCACCUCCUCGCUACAGGGCAGGUAGGGGCACAGGUGCGGAAGAGGCUGCUGGCAUUGCCCGGUCCCCGGAACGCGAGCUGGAAUCGAGCUUUACUGAGCCCCUGAUCAGAGCGCGUCCCGGGGCGGUGCAGGCGUUCCUGAGGAGAGGAGCUGAGCCCACCGCAGCCCCGGAGCUGCCUGUAGGACUGAGCCCCCUGCGCUGCCUCUCUGGAUUCUCUCUCCUGGGCUGCUGUGCCUGCGGCUUCCGAAGCUGAAAUCCAGUGUGAAGGUGCUGCAAAAGCAGAGAUGAUUAUACAAAGAGUAGUGCUGAAUUCACGGCCUGGUAAGAAUGGAGUGCCAGUGGCUGAAAACUUCCGACUGGAGCAAAGUACAAUAGCAGAUACAGUCCAAGCGGGACAAGUGCGUGUUAAAACUCUCUAUCUCUCAGUGGACCCCUACAUGCGCUGCCGAAUGAAUGAGGACACGGGCUCGGAUUACCUUCAGCCCUGGCAGCUCUCUGAAGUUGCUGACGGUGGGGGCAUCGGGGUAGUGGAGGAGAGCCAGCACCACAACCUCGCUAAAGGAGACUUUGUCACUUCCUUCACUUGGCCCUGGCAGACAGUGGCAAUUCUUGAUGGAGACUCGCUGCAAAAGCUGGCACCACAGCUUGUAAAUGGACGCCUUUCCUACUUUCUGGGUGCAGCUGGCAUCACGGGGCUGACGGCCCUGUUGGGAAUCAGGGAGAAGGGACACGUGGCCGCGGGUGCAAACCAGACCAUGGUGGUGAGCGGAGCGGCCGGUGCCUGCGGCUCUUUGGCCGGCCAGAUUGGCCGUCUGGAGGGCUGCUCUAGAGUGGUGGGGAUUGCUGGCACAGAUGAAAAGUGCUCUAUUUUGGUCCAAGAAAUGGGGUUUGAUGCUGCUAUCAAUUACAAGAAGGGGGAUGUGGCAAAACAGCUACGUGAACUCUGCCCAGGUGGUGUGGAUGUUUACUUUGACAAUGUUGGUGGAGACAUCAGUGAUACAGUUAUAAGUCAGAUGAAUCAGAACAGCCAUAUCAUCCUGUGUGGACAGAUUUCUCAGUAUAACAAAGACGUGCCUUAUCCCCCUCCACUGCCUCCUGACACAGAAAAAAUACAGAAAGAAAGGAACAUCACAAGGGAAAGAUUCUUGGUGUUGAACUACAUGGACAAACAAGAAGCUAGUGUAUUACAACUCUGCCAGUGGAUCCAAGAGGGUAAACUGAAGGAUUGAACAGACCUUUUAAAAAAUGUGUCAGAGAGACGGUGGUAGAAGGCUUAGCAAACAUCGGUGCUGCUUUCCAGUCCAUGAUGAAUGGAGGCAAUAUUGGAAAACAGAUCGUCUCAAUUUCGAAGUAAAAGUCAUUGGUUUGAGAAAAAUAAUUGCAUUCUGUCUCUAACAAUGGGCAAGUUUUUACUUAUACUAAUUUCCAUUUCUUAAAUAAACCAUUAAUUUGUUCUGUAUGUACUGAAAGCAGAGAUUUUGGGAUGCUAAUAAAUUAAAUUGAACUGGAAA